This 665-nucleotide ribosomal RNA is filed under the name Clostridioides difficile. RNAcentral's name for it is "bacterial SSU rRNA". It matches the Rfam family "Bacterial small subunit ribosomal RNA", at positions 153 to 841 of the family's 1533-position model. Lineage: Bacteria; Bacillati; Bacillota; Clostridia; Peptostreptococcales; Peptostreptococcaceae. The record is from RNAcentral.
GAAAGGUAUGCUAAUACGGGAUAAUAUAUUUGAGAGGCAUCUCUUGAAUAUCAAAGGUGAGCCAGUACAGGAUGGACCCGCGUCUGAUUAGCUAGUUGGUAAGGUAACGGCUUACCAAGGCGACGAUCAGUAGCCGACCUGAGAGGGUGAUCGGCCACAUUGGAACUGAGACACGGUCCAAACUCCUACGGGAGGCAGCAGUGGGGAAUAUUGCACAAUGGGCGAAAGCCUGAUGCAGCAACGCCGCGUGAGUGAUGAAGGCCUUCGGGUCGUAAAACUCUGUCCUCAAGGAAGAUAAUGACGGUACUUGAGGAGGAAGCCCCGGCUAACUACGUGCCAGCAGCCGCGGUAAUACGUAGGGGGCUAGCGUUAUCCGGAUUUACUGGGCGUAAAGGGUGCGUAGGCGGUCUUUCAAGUCAGGAGUGAAAGGCUACGGCUCAACCGUAGUAAGCUCUUGAAACUGGGAGACUUGAGUGCAGGAGAGGAGAGUGGAAUUCCUAGUGUAGCGGUGAAAUGCGUAGAUAUUAGGAGGAACACCAGUUGCGAAGGCGGCUCUCUGGACUGUAACUGACGCUGAGGCACGAAAGCGUGGGGAGCAAACAGGAUUAGAUACCCUGGUAGUCCACGCUGUAAACGAUGAGUACUAGGUGUCGGGGGUUACCCCC